This 516-nucleotide ribosomal RNA is filed under the name uncultured bacterium. RNAcentral's name for it is "bacterial SSU rRNA". It matches the Rfam family "Bacterial small subunit ribosomal RNA", at positions 38 to 518 of the family's 1533-position model. The record is from RNAcentral.
GGCGGCGUGCCUAAUACAUGCAAGUCGAGCGCAGGAAGCAGACAGAAGCCUUCGGGCAGACGUCUGUGGAAUGAGCGGCGGAUGGGUGAGUAACACGUGGGCAACCUGCCUUAUGGUUCGGGAUAACACCGGGAAACUGGUGCUAAUACCGAAUAAGAUUCUUCUUCGCCUGAAGAAGAAAUGAAAGACGGCUCUUCGAGCUGUCGCCAAAAAGAUGGGCCCGCGUCGCAUUAGCUAGUUGGUGGAUAAAAGUUCACCAAGGCAACGAUGCGUAGCCGACCUGAGAGGGUGAUCGGCCACACUGGGACUGAGACACGGCCCAGACUCCUACGGGAGGCAGCAGUAGGGAAUCUUCCGCAAUGGACGAAAGUCUGACGGAGCGACGCCGCCGUGAGUGAUGAAGGUCUUCGGAUCGUAAAACUCUGUUGUGAGGGAAGAACAAGGGUGAACCGAAUACGUUCACCCCUUGACGGUACCUCACCAGAAAGCCCCGGCUAACUACGUGCCAGCAGCGGC